GAUGAACGCUGGCGGCGUGCCUAAUACAUGCAAGUCGAGCGAACAGACGAGGAGCUUGCUCCUCGGACGUUAGCGGCGGACGGGGGAGUAACACGUGGAUAACCUACCUAUAAGACUGGGAUAACUUCGGGAAACCGGAGCUAAUACCGGAUAAUAUAUUGAACCGCAGGGUUCAAUAGUGAAAGACGGUUUUGCUGUCACUGAUAGAUGGAUCCGCGCCGCAUUAGCUAGUUGGUAAGGUAACGGCUUACCAAGGCGACGAUGCGUAGCCGACCUGAAAGGGUGAUCGACCACCCUGGAACUGAGGCACGGUCCAGACUCCUACGGGAGGAAGCAGUAGGGAAUCUUCCGCGAUGGGGGAAAGGCUGACGGAGCAACGCCGCGUGAGUCAUGAAGGUCUUCGGAUCGUAAAACUCUGUUAUUAGGGAAGAACAAAUGUGUAAGUAACUAUGCACGUCUUGACGGUACCUAAUCAGAAAGCCACGGCUAACUACGUG
This 497-nucleotide ribosomal RNA is filed under the name uncultured bacterium. Its description in RNAcentral is "partial 16S ribosomal RNA". It matches the Rfam family "Bacterial small subunit ribosomal RNA", at positions 28 to 507 of the family's 1533-position model. The record is from RNAcentral.